This is a long non-coding RNA of Danio aesculapii, 724 nucleotides long. RefSeq lists it as uncharacterized. The record is from RefSeq and is a predicted model, not a curated record. The transcript has 2 exons. NCBI's taxonomy places the organism in Eukaryota, Metazoa, Chordata, Actinopteri, Cypriniformes, Danionidae.
CCCGAUCAUCAGCAGAAUCCACCCGUCACUUCACAUCUAUAAACCUGCACGGCAAAAAACAACUACAACAGAAAACUCAAGAGAAAAGCUGCAGUCUUCAACACCUUGAACAGAUGAAGAAACCACAACAAUCAACAUCCAUGACGAGCUGACGUCCAGAGAGGCAACACGGUGGUGCAGUGGUUAGCGCUGUCGUCUCACAACAAAGAAGGUCGCUGGUUCGACUCCUGACUGGGUCAGUCGGCAUUUCUGCGUGGAGUUUGCAUGUUCUCCCCGUGUUGGCGUGGGUUUCCUCCGGGUGCUCCGGUUUCCCCCACAGUCCAAACACAUGCGCUAUAGGGGAAUUGAUCAACUAAACUGGCCGUAGUGUAUGAGUGUGUGUGAAUGCAAUAGUGUGUGGGUGUUUCCCAGUGCUGGGUUACAUCUGGAAGGGCUGCAUAAAACAUAUGCUGAAUAGGUUGGUGGUUCAUUCCACUGUGGCACCCCUGAUUAAUAAAGGGAGUAAGCCGAAAAGAAAAUGAAUGAAUGAAAUUUUAAUUUGCUACAAUAAACAAUGACAACAGUGGUUUGUUCUGUAGACCAUCAUGAAGAUAUCGCUUAAGGGGGCUGAUACUAUUGACCUUAAAAGUGUUUUAAAACAAUCCCAAAACUGCUUUCAGUGUGCUAAAAUAAAAUAAUAAGACUUUCUCCAGAAGAAUAAAACAUGAGAGAAAAUACUGUCAAA